RNAcentral lists this ribosomal RNA (465 nucleotides) under uncultured Klebsiella sp. Its description in RNAcentral is "bacterial SSU rRNA". It matches the Rfam family "Bacterial small subunit ribosomal RNA", at positions 338 to 795 of the family's 1533-position model. Lineage: Bacteria; Pseudomonadati; Pseudomonadota; Gammaproteobacteria; Enterobacterales; Enterobacteriaceae. The record is from RNAcentral.
CCUACGGGAGGCAGCAGUGGGGAAUAUUGCACAAUGGGCGCAAGCCUGAUGCAGCCAUGCCGCGUGUGUGAAGAAGGCCUUCGGGUUGUAAAGCACUUUCAGCGGGGAGGAAGGCGGUGAGGUUAAUAACCUCAUCGAUUGACGUUACCCGCAGAAGAAGCACCGGCUAACUCCGUGCCAGCAGCCGCGGUAAUACGGAGGGUGCAAGCGUUAAUCGUAAUUACUGGGCGUAAAGCGCACGCAGGCGGUCUGUCAAGUCGGAUGUGAAAUCCCCGGGCUCAACCUGGGAACUGCAUUCGAAACUGGCAGGCUAGAGUCUUGUAGAGGGGGGUAGAAUUCCAGGUGUAGCGGUGAAAUGCGUAGAGAUCUGGAGGAAUACCGGUGGCGAAGGCGGCCCCCUGGACAAAGACUGACGCUCAGGUGCGAAAGCGUGGGGAGCAAACAGGAUUAGAUACCCUUGUAGUC